GUGAACGCUGGCGGUAGGCCUAACCCAUGCCAGUCGAACGGCAGCACAGUAAGAGCUUGCUCUUACGGGUGGCGAGUGGCGGACGGGUGAGGAAUACAUCGGAAUCUACUUUUUCGUGGGGGAUAACGUAGGGAAACUUACGCUAAUACCGCAUACGACCUACGGGUGAAAGCAGGGGAUCUUCGGACCUUGCGCGAUUGAAUGAGCCGAUGUCGGAUUAGCUAGUUGGCGGGGUAAAGGCCCACCAAGGCGACGAUCCGUAGCUGGUCUGAGAGGAUGAUCAGCCACACUGGAACUGAGACACGGCCCAGACUCCUACGGGAGGCAGCAGUGGGGAAUAUUGGACAAUGGGCGCAAGCCUGAUCCAGCCAUACCGCGUGGGUGAAGAAGGCCUUCGGGUUGUAAAGCCCUUUUGUUGGGAAAGAAAAGCAGCAGGUUAAUACCCCGCUGUUCUGACGGUACCCAAAGAAUAAGCACCGGCUAACUUCGUG
RNAcentral lists this ribosomal RNA (491 nucleotides) under uncultured bacterium. RNAcentral describes it as "partial 16S ribosomal RNA". It matches the Rfam family "Bacterial small subunit ribosomal RNA", at positions 29 to 507 of the family's 1533-position model. The record is from RNAcentral.